GCUGGUGUAGCACAGUCGGUAGUGCAGCUGAUUCGUAAUCAGCAGGUCGAAGGUUCGAGUCCUUUCACCAGCUCCA
RNAcentral lists this transfer RNA (76 nucleotides) under Oscillospiraceae bacterium. Its description in RNAcentral is "tRNA-Thr". It matches the Rfam family "tRNA". Rfam says of the family: Transfer RNA (tRNA) molecules are approximately 80 nucleotides in length. Their secondary structure includes four short double-helical elements and three loops (D, anti-codon, and T loops). The record is from RNAcentral. Lineage: Bacteria; Bacillati; Bacillota; Clostridia; Eubacteriales; Oscillospiraceae.